This is a long non-coding RNA of Haliotis rubra (blacklip abalone), 286 nucleotides long. RefSeq lists it as uncharacterized. Lineage: Eukaryota; Metazoa; Mollusca; Gastropoda; Lepetellida; Haliotidae. The transcript has 3 exons. The record is from RefSeq and is a predicted model, not a curated record.
AUAGUAUAUAGGGGCAUAAUUGUGUAAAUGUUCUGAACCUCCAUCCAUCACUUUCCUCCAUCAACUUGAAUACAAAAGGUGGCUAUAAGUUACACGCAAUUUUCUAUAUUUACCCUGAAGAUGUUGAACACGAAUGUCGAAAUGAAUGCUUAUAGUCUGAAAAAUAGAACUGGAAUUAAGUUUGUGGGCAUUGCUGAAUUUGGCUCUGGUUCCUAGAAACUAACCUCAAGGUAUUCACAGAUGUACAACAGUUGACACAGAUGAUAAAAUAAUUGACACAAGUGAU